Molecule: transfer RNA, 76 nt
Filed under: Clostridia bacterium
Lineage: Bacteria; Bacillati; Bacillota; Clostridia
Description: tRNA-Gln
Rfam family: tRNA
About the family: Transfer RNA (tRNA) molecules are approximately 80 nucleotides in length.
Source: RNAcentral
UGCGGUAUCGCCAAGCGGUAAGGCAUCAGACUCUGACUCUGACAUCACCUAGGUUCGAAUCCUAGUACCGCAGCCA